AAUAUUUCGGAAACUGAUUAGAAUGGAUUUACCUACUUUCGCUUUCAGAUAAGAUAUGGAUGUACAUACAUGUAUCAGGUGACGGUUAGACUACAGGUCAGUUGCUAUAUCAGACAUAAAAACCGGUGAUAUCUGGUGAAUUAUUUCGGUAAUCAUGUCAGUAUCGCCAUCGGGGCGGUCACCAUGGGGAUUUGAAGGGGAGGGUCACAGCGCCUGGACUAAACAGGUGGAGUUAGCAGGCCUUACUGCUGACACUACAGCAAGCUCAGCUGACUCAGAAGACAAAAAGAAAGAAAUAUCAAGAAAACAUUGGAAAACUCCGGGCUCCAAUUGUUCUAACAAGGAUUGUAAAGUGAAAUUGUCUCUGAUACAAAGAGCUCACCAUUGUCGCAGAUGUGGAGGAACAUUCUGUGAGAACUGCCUUCAAUACAAAAGAAGACUUAACCAUCUGGCCAACCCUGAUCCUGAUGGGAAACGGUACAAGGUAUGUCAGCAGUGCUUUGUGGAGGGCAAAGAUAACCAGGGGGUCAUUGUCAGCAUGACCAGCACAUUUCUGGAGCUACGAACACAGAUCAAGGUGGUGCAAAACACUUCAGAAACGGCAACCAAGGACAGGUCAUGGAGAAAUAGAUUUGACUUAGAAGUAGAGUGUAAGCGAUUAAUCACUGGAUUUAAGCUAGCGGUGGGAAACUCAGAGUUAAAGAGAUCGCUACACGAGGUGAAGACUCUCAUUGCUGUGCCUAACUGGCAGAAGUCAACAUACUGGAUGAUGGAAGUCAAGGCAGAAUCAUGUCAAACAUGUAAAUCAAAGUUUUCCUUGAUGCGAAAAAAGCAUCACUGCCGACUGUGUAGUAGGGGCCUGUGCAAGUCCUGUUCUUCUAAAGACUUACUUGUGUAUAUUCCUGAUGAGGAGCGGUCAAACCAGACUGAACCUAGACUGGCCAUCAUCAAAAUCAAUGGGAGUCCUACUGUGGAGCCGGAGGUGUCGCUGUAUCUGAGGAUUUGUAAGGCGUGCCAGGAAAAAAUGGUUGAUCGGCAGAUGAACAAAGUGGAAAAAGAAUUUAUGGAACAAAGAAGUCAGGAUGUCUUCACAGAUUUGAUUAUGCUCCAUACAGCAGUGGAGAAAAUCAAAGAAACUGCUGCUAGGCAGCUGACAGAGUACCAGGUCAUCGUGGAGUCACUUGAGGACAAUUCGUCUCAUGAAAACAGCGAUAGUAAAAGUAACAUCAAAACACUCGCUAAAUCGCAGGAAGACGUAGCUGACUACCUGUCUCAACUUGUGGUAAAAAUUCAACAUCUGAAGAAAUUGAAGCCAGAGUCCAAUUCUCAAGCCAUUCUGUUUAAAAAUUGUCUGAAGAGUAACUGUGACUUUUACUUUGAAAACCUUCACCAGUUCCGUUAUCAGACCAGGAAACUGAGUGAAUCAGCACCACCUAAUGUGUUAGAGAUAAUACAAAGAACAGUCGACACACAUGAUUUCCAACAUGGGACUUUGUAAUAGUACCGGUAAGGAAAAUGAAGAACAAAGAAGGUAAAAGAUCAUCCUUUGAUGAUCUGAUAAAUAUCCUUUUAUGUUGCAGGACAAUCUGCCGUUGAAUUUGUGAGCUGUUGGUCGUCUAUAUUAACAUCAAGACAAUUAUAAGAUGCCAUGAUCUACAUUGAAGAAAAUAAACACUGAUCAACUUUGGAUAUAAACUUGAUAUUUGUGAGAUUGAUCUGAAAUAUUGUGACGUAUAAGUUUGAUUAAAGUUGCUUCAAUCCGGCUCUGAUGUCUCAAGAAACUUUAGCCUAGAUUUUUUUUCUUUCUUCUGAAAGUCAUGUUUCUCGUUAUAAUUUGCUUGAUAAAACUAAUUUCGUCGUUGUUUAAACAAUUUAUCUCAUGUUUGUGAAAAAGUAUUGAGUAAUUAAAAUACUUUCAUAAAAUUGCAUAGGUCAAGUUUUUAUUCAGAUCUACGUUUUUGAAUUAAAAAAAAGUAAUGCCAUGACAAAUCUAGAGACACAAGUGUUGUUGAAAUAAAGAGAUUUGCAGUAAUUAGGUACGUUUCAAAAUUGGUUCAAAAUGUCUUUCAAAUCUAUUUGCCACCAGUAUGUGGACUUUACUGGUUUUGGCUGUGAUAUCUCCGCCUUGAUACUUGACUUAUCCCAGUGAUACCUGUAUCAUACAAGCCUAUUAUAUUACACACUUCAUUGACCAAUUACCUGGAGGAUAUACCUCGUAUGGAAGCAAUGCUAUGAAUUAUGAACUAGAACAAAUAUGGCCAGAUUGCUGUAACGUGAAAACAUGUCAACCAACUUGAUGGGCAGUAUUCAAGUAGACGAGUGUUUUUCAAUCUCUAUCACAGCACUGGGGUCGAUUAACAGGUAAUGCGUAUUGUGAACGAUUUAUGUAAUAACCUGUUGUUGUUUGCUUUUAUUCUUUAAGAUAUCUUUACUAGUUUUGAAUAUUCUCGUACCAUUUGUCUUUUUCACUCCAACUGGUUCAAGACUAUUGCCCGGUAAGGGAGAACGAUUGUGCCUGUGGGGGAUAUUGUGUGAUGAUGACGUCUGGGUCAUUGUGGUUUUGACCACGUCAGUAAGUAGCAAAGCUGACCAUCUGCAGGUAUUAAUUAGAAUGUGUACAUUUGAAAAUUAAUCUGACGUUACGUUGAGAAGACAGAAAUGAUUGUUAAAGGUUCUGCGUUGGGCAGUAGUACUUUUGGUUGGUACUAGCUCAUCAAAGAAACAUUUAAAGCUAUAUGUAUACAAGGAUGAUAUACAUCGAGUGAAUAUUAUUCACCAGAUAACUUUGAGUAAUUAAUAUCUGUUUUAAGUCAAGGUAUACCCCUGUGAGUAUGACAAAGCGUCGCCUAAGCUUUUUUCAACUGUUAAAUUCUUCAUUUAUAACAUAUUACUCUGUGCCAAGGUAAACAUGUUUAAUAUCAAAACAUUUACUGAACUGGAGAAAAAAAAUGAAUCUAAUAAAAUGGUCCCCUCAGAGAAAACAUGCUCCAUUAAGAGAUCAUGUUAAAUUAUGGAUUUUAAACAUAAAAACUUAGCCUGGAUAUUGUGUGUAGUAGGUUCGAUACUAGCUUUUCUCAAAGUGUAUGUUCGUCAUUUAAUGGAACCCAGCUACAUGUAUGAGAUUUGAAUGUCUGCCAUAAUUGAAGUUUUGUUGAUUAUGUUUCCUUGUUCGUUUGUGAUAUAUAUUUUCUCGAAUUUGAAGGGAGAUGUCACGAUGGACACGACAAGGGGCAGAGGAAGUUUACCUCCGUUUGUUUGUUCUCUUAUUUGUUUUUUCUCGGUUCCAUGUGUUGUAUUGUUCGUGGGGUCUGGUAGUGUCUGUGGGUGUAUUCAUUCAGAUUGGUAUAUUUCCGGUCACCAGAGCCAUCUUUGUCAUUCACCGUUUUCGCAGUUGGUAGACAAACUGUCCGAUGAGGGUACUGUGCCUCUUGUUUGCACUUCACGUCUCAACAAUUCUUUCUGAAACUGUACCUACAAAUGUAUUACUUCUGCUUCAUAUAUUGGAUUUUUUUUAUUUCGCCUGCUUGAUCAAAAACUAAUACAAAUAUCUACCAUUGUGUGCCAUGACCCCUCUGAGUUUGUAUACGUAGGUGCUGGAAAUGUAGAGGAUUGAGUGUGUCUUGAGGUUGUAAAGUAUGUGUAUUAACGUUUAGGGUAAAGGGCCCUCUUCCAAUAUGUUAUAUACAACAUUCCGCUUGUUCAAAUUCGGCUUAGCUUAAAGCGUCAUAUAAAUCUUCAGUAUCCAAUUUUUUCUGAAAUAUAUUAAAAUUCAAACUUACAACUGUAUUUGUGUGUCCUGUCUGUAGGUGAUCAAUCUUGUUUAGUUUCUGACGUUCUAUAAUGUUUAAUAUGUACAAGAUAAAACUGUUGAAUUGUCUUUAAGCUGAUAUUAUCUCUAGCUCUUUGAACAACUUGGCAUGUAAAAGGAGCAGCAUUAUUAUAACAUUUUCUUUGCUACAUUUAGGCGAUAGUAAGUACCCAGUUGUACAUCCGACAGCUGAUUUACGAAUCCAUACAUUUGUCAGAGACACACAAGGUGAUUACUGGCGAGA
RNA transcript from Mizuhopecten yessoensis (Yesso scallop), 4052 nucleotides. It is a transcript of the gene named vacuolar segregation protein PEP7-like, with no coding region annotated. The record is from RefSeq and is a predicted model, not a curated record. The transcript has 13 exons. NCBI's taxonomy places the organism in Eukaryota, Metazoa, Mollusca, Bivalvia, Pectinida, Pectinidae.